This 332-nucleotide ribosomal RNA is filed under the name uncultured bacterium. RNAcentral describes it as "bacterial SSU rRNA". It matches the Rfam family "Bacterial small subunit ribosomal RNA", at positions 568 to 898 of the family's 1533-position model. The record is from RNAcentral.
CGUGUAGGCGGUCAUGUAAGUCAGAUGUGAAAUCCUUCCGCUUAACGGGAGAAGUGCAUUUGAAACUACAUGACUAGAGUACGGGAGAGGAGAGUGGAAUUCCCGGUGUAGAGGUGAAAUUCGUAGAUAUCGGGAGGAACACCAGUGGCGAAGGCGGCUCUCUGGAUCGAUACUGACGCUGAGACGCGAAAGCGUGGGGAGCAAACAGGAUUAGAUACCCUGGUAGUCCACGCUGUAAACGAUGGGCACUAGGUGUAGGAGGUAUUGACCCCUUCUGUGCCGAAGCUAACGCAUUAAGUGCCCCGCCUGGGGAGUACGGCCGCAAGGUUAAA